UUAAAUUCUGGUAGAAAUACGGCAGCAGAUGUGCUUGAUUACCAUCAUCAAAAAUUCCAAGACCACAUAAGUAAAAGAUAUAUAUACCAUUUCCUUAAAUGAACAUAUUCAUUGAUGUAACAGAUCAUAGCACAUGCUUUACUCUUGGAAAAACAUUCAUUCAACCAACCGCAAAUACCUUCAGAGUUCACAUAAAUUACAAACUUAUACCACUAUUUUUAUAUACAAAUAUUUGAUAAUAUUAAUAUAAAGAAUCACAGAAGAUUAAUUUUUCUCAACUUCAAGAAUUUUCUACUAUAGGAGAAACUGAUAUACAAUAUCCAUGUGAGCUUACAUACUAUAUGCAACCCCUUUACGGAAAAAAUCAGUGAAAUUGUCAGAAAAUUCUCUACACAUACAUUCGUGAAACAGUUCUAUAUAAACUGAAUAAUACUGCAAAGCAAGCUUUACCUAUUUUUCUUCUGCUUUAAUAAGAGCAAUUGCACAAAUUUAAAUCAGGCAAUGUCAGAACAGGAAUGUAAUGAUGAGAACUGCAGUCAUGUUAAGCAUUUAAGAGAAAUCCAAAGACCUAGUAUCCAGACUGAACAUCUCACUCAGUACCAUGUACUUCUGUUUCUGAAGCCCUUUCUGUUUGCAGGGUGUCUGGAGGGGCAAACUGUGUAUAACAUCUGAGUUUAUCAGUAGUAAUGAUUCACAACAUUACAGAAGAAAUAGAUUUUCUGUUUUGUCCUCACUUUUUUUCAUCAGUGUGAAAGAACUUCUCAUAUAUAGGUGUCCUUUGCCCUGAAGGCACAUAUCCCCUGUCCAGUUUCUACAAAUACAACCCUUUUCUUGCAGGAAUCAGAAUAACAUUUCCUGAGGUGAAAUUCAAUUGCAAGGCUGUGGAAGGACAUUCAGCUCCCUGGCACAUUAUCACAAAUUCAUCAGUAAGAUCAAGGGGAAUUCAGCAAGGAGUGUAUAACUACUGCUGAACUCCAACGAUGUCCAGAUCUCUCAGACAAAAGGAGUAAGAAAACUGUGAUGCAAGACACUGAUGACCUUUACCGUGUGUCAGAUGUAAGAGAGUUACUUUUGUCUGAUCUUUUUUCCUUUGAUAGGUAGCUGUUGCCCUUUCUUGCCAGAACAAUGUACAGGGAAGUCCAUGAAGACAUAACUGUGCACAGAACAUUGCCUGGCCCAUUGCCUAAAGGGAAAUUCUAAAUGGGAAAACAAUUGCAGUGUCAAAUAAUAUAUGUUAACCCACCCUCUUAAUUAGUCUCUGCUCCUUAAUGUAUUCAUUAUCUGGAUUUCUUCCCUAGUUUGUCUUUGUACUCAUGCUACCUUUUUUUUUAAUUUUCUGAGUGAAAAUUAGACAAUAUAGACUCUUAGAAAAAAAAUAGGAAACUGUCAGUAAAAAAGAUGCUCUUGUUCCAUAUCUUGACUGUUCUGAAAAUAAAAAUAAUAACAUACAUGAAAAAAAUUCACAGGUGAAUAGAAUUACAAUUCUCUGCUUUAAUUGAAAUGCCCCUAUGAAAUCCAUGUUAAUAAUAAUAAUAAAAAUAUAGUUUAAAAUUCUUAUCAUUAUACAGUUCAAAAACAUCCACAAUUUUAUUUAUUGGCUGCUAACACUACCUGGACAGAGGGCAGUGUUAUUGCAAACCCUUGAUUCUCUUAAAGGGCCGCUGCAGUGUGUCCCGUAAGGUGAUACACAAGUUCUGGUUCGCACCUGCGACCCUUGACCACAAGUAACUGAACACGUACUCCACUGGGCCCACUCUUCAACACCAGAUUCACCUGUAUUCAAGACAACAAACAAACAUGAAUAUAGACAUAAGUAUUAGUGACACGGGUUGUUUGUUUUUUGGUUUGUUUUUGAUUUUUUUUUUUUUUUUGCUGAAGCUCAUUAUCGUCUGCUCUUAUAAAUCAAAGAAAAAGGUACCACACCAAAAUAAAUAUUUAAAGGUUUAUGGAGUAAAGCAGCUGUGAAGAUGUGCAAUGAAUAGAAAACAAGGACACCUAUGAUGCUGCAAUCACAUAACGCCUGUCAGAGGGGAACACUUUGAUGUCUUAGCAUCAUUUACAACUCUAUGAGAACUACUGCCCUUCAACACUUCAGAAACAACACUACCUCAGGAUUCUGUUAAGUACAUAGAUAACUCUUUUUACAUAAUAGCAAAGGAUUUGUCUUUGAUAUUUAUACUUAUCCCUCUAGAAUUAAGGCUCAGUAACAGUUUAAGGAGCCCUACCAGUAAGGGAAUUCCAGGGAAGAAAACCCCAGACAAACCAGCCCCUAAUGUCUUACAUUUUCUUCAGCAGAGUUAUAUAGCAUUUGAAUGAAGUUCCCUGACAAAGCAAAACAUUUUGUUUACUGAAAUUUAACCUGAAAUGUGGGAUGGAAACUUUGAUAAUGUGCUGCAUAAAUUUACUUCUCGCUUUUGACCUACAGGUAUGCUGAAUUCUUGGGUGUGCCCGACCUCGUUACUGCACGUAACACAUGCUAUUAUGUUCAAAAUUGUCAAAUGUGAUUUAUUAAUACUGUAUAUUAGAAAAGGGGAAUUUUUUAAAAAAAUUUUUGAAAGCUAUAAUAAUUUUUUUUUGAAAGCAAGUAACACAUAAAGUUUUCUUGCAUGAGUGCUCUGUAAAGAAUGCUUGAAUUUAAUUCUCAUGAACAGCUAUACACAAAAUUCUGGAAUUCCUUUCCCAUAGGAAUUCCUGUUCAGAAAAAUAGAUCCCUUGAGUAUUCUCAGAAAGCAAAGGCAAAAAUAAUGUGAAUAUACUUCACUGAACAACUGGAGUAAAUAAUUUUUAAUUGAUAUUUAUCUUCUUCUGUUAAAAUUCAGCAUGUAAUGUAAAAUGGCAACUGAAACCCAUACUGCAUGCUUGACUUUUAAGUGUAAGUCCUUUUUGAAACAAUUAGUACUUUCUGUUUUAAAAUCAGUGGCAUGAUAAAAUCUGCACACUUGAAGAGCUUGCUUGGAAUUUCGGUUAUCUCAGUAUACUUCUACUCUUCCAAAAGUUCUGGUACUGAUCACAGUCUAGGGACUGUCUGCAAAGCAGGAAUAUUCUGGUUCUAUCUUCCAAGAAUGCACUGAAGUAUUUAACCAAAUGCCACAUGAGAACAAAAGCGGUACCAGGAAAUGCAAUGUACUGGCAUGGGUGAGACCUCAUUAAAAUUCAAGCUUCAUGAGAGAAGAAAAAAAAAGGGUCAAGUGCAUUUUUGUAAUGGGAUCAGAAAUGUCCACUUUCUGUGUGUAAGUACAAACAAUGUCAAAAUUGUUUCAUCUAAGAAGCUUAAGAGUAAUGCAUUUUUAUGAAACAUUUUUAAUAUAAUAUAUUACUUAAGUUUACAAUAAAUACUAAAUAGAAUGAGACUUUCCUUCAUUUUCAGAUCCUAGGUAAUAAACACAGAAGGCAAACCCAUUAUGCAGGUUUUUUUUCCCUCAAUACUUCACAGAGAGGGAGUAUCUAAAUGCUUUCUGGGCUGGGAAAGCAUUUUAACCCAAGUCAGCCUAGAGAAUGGCUAAAUGGCACAGAAAUUCCAAGGAUCUGUUUGUGUGGGAAAGGUAAGAACCAUCCUAAUGUAGGCACUAUCUGGCAGAGAGACAUCCUGCAAGGUCAAGUCAGUAUGAUUCAAGACCUGAUAUCUGGAUAUAAUAUUGGAUAUUUGAAUUGACAUUCUGAGUAAAUUAAUUUUUAUCAUUCUCACUCUUACCUAGUUCUUGCUGCUGAAAAUAAGUUUUCUAACCCAGAACAAGGUAUUUUUGUAGAUAUUAGUUUUUGAAGAGAAUUUUUUUUUGUGAUAUCUGUCCUAAAUUUUAUUCGGGUGAAACAGGACAAUUAUUCUCUGCUUUUAUCUCUAACAUUGUUAUUAAUCAUAUUGUUUCAUUAAAUACAGGGUGAAAGCAAAUCCCUUCAGCAACAAAUAGGUGCAUGAUCUAGUUCAGAAAUGGACAGUGUGACUCUAACUCAGGCCUGGAAACAUGCAAGGGUUUUAAGCCUUUUUAUUACAUUGUUAAUGCUAUAAUCUACACAGCAUGAAGAUAAAACCCAUAACUAUCUCAAAAUGUAAAUAAAAAUAGCAUUAUGGGGAACCUUGAAUCGUUUUAACCAGAUCAAGACUUAUAAUAAAUCAUAACACAGUCCAAACAUUUGUGGUAGAAAGCCUCAGGUUUAGUUAUCUGAUAAAAGAAUUUAUUCUGCUGUCAGUGGUCCUUUGGUGGCUAUGGAAGUACAAGGGAUCACUGCAACAGCAUGCUUAUUUUUUUGCUCCUUAGCUGCUCAUAAUGGAUAAUACUUAAAGCAUUUUAGUGAUGCAUAUAUUUUAAUAUGAAUGUCAUGUAUCAUUUGGUUAAGCAUUGGAACAGACUGCCCAGGGAGGUGGUGGAGCCACCAUCUCUGGAAGUGUUAAAAAAUGAUUGGACAUGGCACUUAGUGCUAUGGUUUAGUUGGCAUGGUGUUGUUUGGUCAAAAGUGAAUGAUCCUUGGAGGGCUUUUCCAACCUAAAUGAUAUCUGAUUCCAUGAUUUCAUUUUACAUAUAAGCUGAGGCAUGUAAUAUAGUUCCAUGCCUUCUUGGACAGAAUAAAAGAUUGCAAUUCCAAAGUUUACAGUUUGGUAUUAUUUACAGCUCUUAUCACUAGUAGUUCCAUUGACUUUACCUUUAUUGUUAAGUAUGUUAUGUUAUGUUAUGUUAUGUUAUGUUAUGUUAUGUUAUGUUAUGUUAUGGGAAUUUUUAUUCCUAUUGAGUAACCUUUUUAGUUUUUAGAGGAGAAGCUAAAAUCUUGCGGCCAGUGUAGGUGUGCGUUUUUAGAAGAGGAAAGAGGUGCCAUGUGCUCUCUGUAGGGAUAAAGAAGAAAAAAAUCUGUUAAAAUGUACAAAUGCAAACUAGGACAACUGAGAAAUACAAAAGAAAAAAUACCAGCUUUGCAAGGUUCUACUCAAAAUUAUUUGCUUUUUGACAAGUGGAUAUUCUUUAAAAUUAAGGUAAAUAUCAAACAUAUUUUAAGGCUGUUUUAUGAUAUUUGUAACAUAUAUAUUUUUUUUACAUAAAUAUCCUAGUCAUCAGAUGACAUUAUAAACCAUGUUGGUCUGGCUUUUAUGUCUAUUUUUUAUGACAUUUCAUGGGAACUUCGUGGGAUAAAUGUAUUGUGGUGUACCAUCUACUAUGAAUCAUGCUAUUUAUGGUAUAGGACACACUGGUAUUAAUAUAAAAAGCCUUUUCCAUCAUAGAAGUUGGUAAUGACAUCAUAAAUGAACUAAAAAAAAAAAACAAACGUAGUUCUGAGACCUCUAGAGUUACUCCCUUAGGACAUGUACAAUGUCAAGGAACUUCUGAGAGUUGUUAAGUGUCGUCGGCUUGUACAGAACCAAGUAGAGCAGUGUCCUGAAAGCUUUCAGAACCUUAAAAGCAAAACGAGGCAGUCAACUCCCCAAAGUGACUGUCAUUUUCUUUCACCCACAGUGCUCCAGAAGUGUGAUUCAUACUGCCCUACCCACUCCUGAACUGUAACUAGCCAAACAAGUGUUUUCAUUUACUCCUGACUACAGAAUGAACAGAAUGGGUCUUGCAGCCAGAAUGCGCAAUAAUGCAACGGUCUCACCUGCACCAGCAUGGCAUCCUCUCUGUGCUUGCACACACUUUUUUCCCAGAAAUUAUGCAAAAUGCUGAUGUAAGUCCCAGGUGAAGGGGGAGGAGGAGAGAGUGAAAGGAAGAAAGAAGACUACAGAAAUAUAUAAUGAAUCAGUCUGUUUAAAUCGAAUUUUGGGCUGCAAUAUUAACUAAUUUCAGUAGAUCUCAUGAUUUUCUGACUUCCCAGAGAAUGAAAAAGUUUUCUGCACAUUUUUUUUUAGCCCAUUUUAGAGGUUCUCCCACAAAGAUACACAGCAGUAGAAGUACUUGGGGUUUCUCAUCACAUUGGCAAGUGGUCAGUACAAUUUCUUCUGGUCACUAGAUGGCAGAAUGUGUGUUGACUUAGAAGCACAAUUUUGCAUAGACACAAGAAGCUGUGACUUUCUGUUUCAUUUUCACUAUAAAAUUAUCUCUCCUAUAUAUACAUAAUAAAUGUCACUAUAUUCAAAGGACUGAGGGGUUUUUGUUUUCUUCUUUAUUUUUGGUUAUUCUUUUGUAUGGCUGAAGAUUACUAAAACCCCAACAAAACACCCAAAACUAUUAAAACACAAACUGCAGGGCUUUUUUUCCUUGUUAGUUUUUUUUUUUUUGUCUGUUUUGUCUGUUUUUUUUUUUCCCUUACAGUAAGACAGAAGAAAAUCUGAGGAGCAUUCUCACUGUAGCAGAGUACCCAGGCCCCACAAGGAAGCAUUUGUUCUCUAAUGCUGCGUUGGCAGGACACAGAGCUUCAGGGCAUUAGUGAAUACCAUCACUCUGCAGUACAGAUUUAAGCUAUAGCUUUCUAUGGGAACCCCUUAAAAUGAUAUUUCCUCAUGAGGCAGGCAAGUUGCCAAAACGGUAACGUAACUAUUAGCUGAAUUAGAUUUCCAUGGGAACCUCUUCUUAGUGAAUGUGGAAAACGUUCUUAAAACAGCCUUUGCUUACUUCCUACGUAGAUCCUGGUCCCAUAAAAAGUCCCCUUUUGGCUCUCCAAAACAGUAUAGAAGAGCUUUGAUCAGUUUCAAACUGAAUGGAAUAAUUUCUUUCACGAGAGUGAAUUAAGAUCUGAACAGAGCUGUAUUCAUGAACACAGUGAGAAAAAUAUGCUAUUACUCAUGAAAACGCAGAAAGGAUUUUAUGAUAAUGGAAAUACAAAAAGCAAAAGCAUUUCUACUAACACAGUAUAUUUUUAAAAUUGUACUAAAUUAUUGCAUUUUAUCAAAUAAAAGACAGGUAAACAUUUCUAAGAAAUUAGAUACAAGAUUUCUUUUCUCUUGUAGACAGAUAUCCUAAUACAUAUACGUAUGCCUUCUUUCAUCUCUCAAAAAAUUAGGGAAAACAAUUAUGUAUUCUAAACAGUCAACAUAUUGUACAAAGGUAAUUAGUUUAUAUUCAUCUCUAGGGAGACCCAUUUACUGCUAGGACAUAACUUUGAAUUAAUACUACUGCUGGUAUUUUUAAUGACAUAAGAAAUGAAAUAUUACUGAAUUAAAAUAUAAAUGAUAGCACAAAUCCCAAAGAGCAAGACUCUCAUGGCAAUGCAAUCUGCUGUAUCUCUGUGCAUCUCUGCAGUGACUCUCUUGGCCAGCCAUUAUCUUUAGUGGGAUCUGUUUAUUUAUGGUUACCGAUUUGAUCAGUGAAGAAUAUCAUAAAGAUGUAAUAUUUCUUCACUUUCAUUGUGCAGAGAAUGUUGAAACCGUGCAAACGCUAUUACUUGCCUUCCUGGCCCCAAAUGCUCAUCACCAUACCUAGGCAGGAGAAACUGAGCAUAAAAAUCUAGUGAAGUGACUCAUACCUGUUCAAAAUAAAUGUAAAAUAUCACCAUAGCAGGUAGUGUGCUUUCACAUGGGCUUUGCAGAAUUAUAACUAAACGUUGAGGGAAAGGAGGGGUGGAUGGAAGCCCAAACUGUAGCUUCACCCCUUUUUAUAUCUACCAAAUCUGACAUUUAUAAUUAUGAUGGCCAGGUAGGCAGAAGAUGCUCUGUAGUUCACAUUUUUCCCAUUCAAAAACUUCCCUAGCAAUCCAUCCCAAAACGGUUGUGUUCAAAUAAAAUUAACAAUCCUGAUAAAAAGCACUUUAUAUUUCCAAGUUUAACAUUUAAAUCCUGUAAAUUCAGUAGUAUGUUAUUCUCUCAUAUUCCAUACUGUUCUCUCAAAAGAUUCAUGGAUGUAAUAACACAUUAUUACAUUCAUGGAUGUAAUAACACAUAAGAAUGAAAGCACAGGGGCUUACCUUUAUAAAUUUUUGCUUUUUAAAAUGAAACACUUUUAAUGCAUUCUCUUGUAGUAUUCUCAUCAUUUGAAUGUUUCUACUAUAAUAACUUAUUCAUGUGUAGCCUUUAAAAAUUUAAAUCAUGGUAUAAUAAUAAUUCUUCAGUAUCUUCAUUUCUUCUUUAUAUUUCAUACUAUUUUAUUUCUGCAUUAAAUAUUUUGGUUUUGCCAUAUAUUUAAUUAAUUGAAUUACUGAUAUGGUUAGCCAGUGGAGGAGUUAUUUCAGAAUGGCAUCAUUUUUAUAUAAACACUCUCUUUUCUGCAGCAAACUACGUGGUUAUUACACACAGGCUAGUAUGUGCCUCUUUAUUGUUCUGUACUAUUAAAAGUCAAGAGAUGAUGACUUAGAAUAAACUGUAAUUUCCUAAGCUGUUCUUGAAUUCAAUAAUUCUUAUUUUCUGUUCUAGAAAGACUGAAAAAUAAGUAAACUGUAGAAAGCAGGACUCACAAGGACAUCUAGACU
This is a long non-coding RNA of Passer domesticus (house sparrow), 8319 nucleotides long. RefSeq lists it as uncharacterized. The transcript is spliced from 3 exons. The record is from RefSeq and is a predicted model, not a curated record. Lineage: Eukaryota; Metazoa; Chordata; Aves; Passeriformes; Passeridae.